This 496-nucleotide ribosomal RNA is filed under the name uncultured bacterium. Its description in RNAcentral is "partial 16S ribosomal RNA". It matches the Rfam family "Bacterial small subunit ribosomal RNA", at positions 29 to 507 of the family's 1533-position model. The record is from RNAcentral.
ACGAAAGCUGGCGGCGUGCCUAAUACAUGCAAGUAGAACGCUGAAGAGAGGAGCUUGCUCUUCUUGGAUGAGUUGCGAACGGGUGAGUAACGCGUAGGUAACCUGCCUUGUAGCGGGGGAUAACUAUUGGAAACGAUAGCUAAUACCGCAUAAAAAUGGUUGACACCUGUCAUUUAUUUGAAAGGGGCAAUUGCUCCACUACAAGAUGGACCUGCGUUUUAUUAGCUCGUAGGUGAGGUAAUGGCUCACCUAGGCGACGGUACAUAGCCGGCCUGAGAGGGUGAUCGGCCACACUGGGACUGGGACACGGCCCAGACUCCUACGGGAGGCAGCAGUAGGGAAUCUUCGGCAAUGGGGGCAACCCUGACCGAGCAACGCCGCGGGAGGGAAGAAGGGUUUCGGAUCGGAAAGCUCUGUUGUAAGUCAAGAACGGGUGUGAGAGUGGAAAGUUCACACUGUGACGGUAGCUUACCAGAAAGGGACGGCUAACUACGUG